CGGAAAACCUCCGCGCGUGCCCCUUAAAGACACAGCGCUGCAUUCACACGUCUGCGGGGAAAGGGGGGCCGUCACGUGUGGCCUUCGCCCGAAAGCGGUAGGGGAGUCGCUCUGAAACCGCCAAGGAUCGCGAGCGACAGAUUUGUGUUGGCCAGGGUUUUAAGAUGACGCAAUAGCUGAGUGUGGUUGAAAUGUAACUAUUGUUUUACAACUUUGCAUUAACCUUCCAAGACCUGAAUUCCCGGGCCUGAGUCUCAGAGCGCGGUUUGCAUCUUUGCAGGCUGUAGGCGCAUGAUGUCACAAGUUAUUGGAAGAAAUCCCUCCAACCUAGGUUGGGACAGAUGAAGGCGGCGCUUAUUGGUGUUCACCAAAACACCAGCAUGGUGUACCAGCUUUGGCUAGAUGAUGCUCAGGUAACGAACAACCCCUGCAACUCAGUGGCUUAAAGGUCCAUUUCUCAAGCGAAUUACUGUGGCUGCAGGGAGCUUUGGCAGUACUCCACCAGUUUUCUUCACUCCAGGCUGAAAGGUCAACUUUUCUGGGCCAUGCUCCCUGCUGGGCUGGUAAACCAACUUUGAGGGAGAAGGGGGAAGUCCAGAUAUGUAGUGUUUGCUAUUUCUAUGAUGUAAAUGCUCCCACAAUGGCCGAUUUCAAGCUACAAACAGUCCAACAAGUGGCUUGCCAAGUUCCUGGAAAUUUAACAAUUAGCUCCUGUACAUGACUGGCACAAGCUGCUUUCCAAACUCACAUUCCGCAUGCCUCAGUUCUGCUCACUUUCUAUUGGUCAAAACUUGCUGUCAGUGGGUGGGGAAGUGUACCCCUCUCUUAAGGAAGCCUUGCAAGUCUUGUGACAAUGAAACAGGAGAGUUCCCUGAUUUCCUCCCGGCCCCCGCCCUCCCACAGCCCUUUGCAGGACGUGCAACAGGGUUGUGGCUCGUGUGUUCGGUCUCUG
Molecule: long non-coding RNA, 952 nt
Filed under: Homo sapiens (human)
Lineage: Eukaryota; Metazoa; Chordata; Mammalia; Primates; Hominidae
Description: non-protein coding ZBED3-AS1:9
Source: RNAcentral